GUGCGCCGCGCGCGGCGGCUGUGCUACUCUCGGCCGUUGGAGGGCCUGCUCCUGCCGGAGGAAGGAGGAUCCCGAGUGCCACGUUGCGAGUUCUUGUGGUGUCCGCCUCCUUCCGGACUCACCACCUCAGACAGAGCAAGUUUUUGUUGCAACAGACACAGAAGAGUAAAAAUAUCACCAACUGCUACAAGAAGAAGAGUAAGAGGAAGAAAAUCACAGAGAACUCUAAAAAAAGAGCUGAAAGCGCCCUAACUGACAGAGACAUGCGAUAGUUUUUCAGAAGAAGAUGGAACAGGGCAUUUCUACAGAGACAACAGGUAAAAAGUUCAGAGGAGAUUUGUGUGAUGCAUCAACCUACCACGUGGAACAGAGCUGUGGAGGUGGAAUGAACUUAGAAGCUGAUGGCGGGGACCAAAGGAAAUUAUUCUUGGAAGAAACAGUCCAUCUUCAUGAAUGACCCUUCACCCACAAAAUGUUCUUCUUUUUGAGUUGCCUUUAAUUGCUUUUGUCCCUCCUCAUACUCUCACAGAAAUUCUGUGAGGUUCUGAGAUCGGCUGUCUUCUCUCCACUUUCUCAGGGAGUUCAUUUUCUCCCCAAGCUUCAAGUAUCCUUGAUUUUGUGAAUGAUGUCAAAAAAUAUAAUUCAUUAAUUUAUUUAACCAAUAUCUAUUGUACCUAACAUGUACCAGGAACCAUG
Molecule: long non-coding RNA, 696 nt
Filed under: Equus asinus (donkey)
Lineage: Eukaryota; Metazoa; Chordata; Mammalia; Perissodactyla; Equidae
Description: lncRNA (ENSEASG00005026560.1)
Source: RNAcentral